Molecule: long non-coding RNA, 1105 nt
Filed under: Bos indicus x Bos taurus (hybrid cattle)
Lineage: Eukaryota; Metazoa; Chordata; Mammalia; Artiodactyla; Bovidae
Description: lncRNA (ENSBIXG00005016335.1)
Source: RNAcentral
CACCUGCCCGCUGGGGGACGUGUCCUCACCAGCUCUGAUACCACGGCUCGUGCGUCGGGCAGCGGGCCGGCCUGGGUGAGAUCAGCGUGAGAGGGAAGCCAGUGUUCUCGGCGCCCGAGUCCCCAGCUGUUGUAUCAGUGUGGUCACAGAAGGAUGCAUGGGAACGGGCGGUGGUCCUUCUGCUCAAUUUAACUGGCUUUACGGCUCUGAUUUUAUAAGGGGUUGAUGCUGGAAAGGCAAGGACUCAAGCGUAUCUUUAAAUCUAGAACUGAAAAAAAAAAUAAUAAAUCUAGAACUGAACCCUAGAUUAAAAAUUAAUGUAUGAUCAGUAUCAAAAUACUCAACAGAGACAACUUCAGAUGAGAAAAGAAAAAUCACUCAGAUCUUACUAUCUGUUAAUAAUCAUAAUUAGCAUCUUGGUUAAAAAACCCUUCCAGAUUAAUUUUUGGCCAUGAAAAUAUACAGAGGUGCCGUCAAGGAAACCACAACUUAUUUUUUACCAGCUUGAACAUCUGGAAGCUCACGGUUCACGUAUUGCUGAAGUGGUGCGUGGCGCAGGAGUGGCUGAGAGGAGGACCCCACGUCCCAGGUCAGGAGUGGCGGCCAAGAGGAACACACUGGUCAUAACAAACACCCUCUUCCAACAACACAAGAGAAGACUCUACACGUGGACAUCACCAGAUGGUCAACACCAAAAUCAGACUGAUUAUAUUCUUUGCAGCCAAAGAUGGAGAUUAUGUCACAGUAUGACUUUAUAAGGCAUCCAGGUUGUAAAACGGUCAGAGGAAACGCAAGCUCACCUGCAUGUGCUCUGCUCGGUGACAGCAGACCUCAGCACUCGGGAGUCAGGCGCCUGUGAUUUUAACUGAGUGGAACUGUUUCGUGCAGAGUUCAGUUACUUCUGUCAUUUCUCACGUCCGUAUCCUUUUGGAGUCCUCUCUGGGUCCUCCUACGACAAUAUUAUUAAAAACACGAUGUGUAUAAUUUCAUAACGCUCUCCAUGCUACUUAAUAAUAAUUAGCACAUAUUUUGGCAUAUGUGCUUUUCUGUUCAUUGUUUUAUAUCAAUUCAUAUUAUGUUUCCCUGUAUCUUGAUUUUUAAAAAU